This 301-nucleotide ribosomal RNA is filed under the name uncultured bacterium. RNAcentral's name for it is "partial 16S ribosomal RNA". It matches the Rfam family "Bacterial small subunit ribosomal RNA", at positions 509 to 807 of the family's 1533-position model. The record is from RNAcentral.
CAGCAGCCACGGGAAUACAGAGGGUGCGAGCGUUAAUCGGAUUUACUGGGCGUAAAGCGUGCGUAGGCGGCUAAUUGAGUCGGAUGUGAAAUCCCCGAGCUUAACUUGGGAAUUGCAUUCGAUACUGGUUAGCUAGAGUGUGGGAGAGGAUGGUAGAAUUCCAGGUGUAGCGGUGAAAUGCGUAGAGAUCUGGAGGAAUACCGAUGGCGAAGGCAGCCAUCUGGCCUAACACUGACGCUGAGGUACGAAAGCAUGGGGAGCAAACAGGAUUAGAUACCCGUGUAGUCCCUGUCUCUUAUAC